AUGAACGCUGGCGGCGUGCCUAAUACAUGCAAGUCGAGCGAACAGACGAGGAGCUUGCUCCUCUGACGUUAGCGGCGGACGGGUGAGUAACACGUGGAUAACCUACCUAUAAGACUGGGAUAACUUCGGGAAACCGGAGCUAAUACCGGAUAAUAUAUUGAACCGCAUGGUUCAAUAGUGAAAGACGGUUUUGCUGUCACUUAUAGAUGGAUCCGCGCCGCAUUAGCUAGUUGGUAAGGUAACGGCUUACCAAGGCGACGAUGCGUAGCCGACCUGAGAGGGUGAUCGGCCACACUGGAACUGAGACACGGUCCAGACUCCUAAGGGAGGCCGCAGUAGGGAAUCUUCCGCAAUGGGCGAAAGCCUGACGGAGCAACGCCGCGUGAGUGAUGAAGGUCUUCGGAUCGUAAAACUCUGUUAUUAGGGAAGAACAAAUGUGUAAGUAACUAUGCACGUCUUGACGGUACCUAAUCAGAAAGCCACGGCUAACUACGUG
This 496-nucleotide ribosomal RNA is filed under the name uncultured bacterium. Its description in RNAcentral is "partial 16S ribosomal RNA". It matches the Rfam family "Bacterial small subunit ribosomal RNA", at positions 29 to 507 of the family's 1533-position model. The record is from RNAcentral.